CGGGAGGUUGGUGGUGGACGAGCCACUCGCCAACCGGGUCAGGUCCGGAAGGAAGCAGCCCCAACGAGCAAGGCACGGGUCGCCGUGCCAGCCUCCCACCCU
RNAcentral lists this signal recognition particle RNA (102 nucleotides) under Phyllobacterium sp. YR531. Its description in RNAcentral is "Bacterial signal recognition particle RNA". It matches the Rfam family "Bacterial small signal recognition particle RNA". Rfam says of the family: The signal recognition particle (SRP) is a universally conserved ribonucleoprotein involved in the co-translational targeting of proteins to membranes. Archaeal SRP consists of a 7S RNA and homologues of the eukaryotic SRP19 and SRP54 proteins. Lineage: Bacteria; Pseudomonadati; Pseudomonadota; Alphaproteobacteria; Hyphomicrobiales; Phyllobacteriaceae. The record is from RNAcentral.